UAUUGCACAAUGGGGGAAACCCUGAUGCAGCAACGCCGCGUGAGUGAAGAAGUAUUUCGGUAUGUAAAGCUCUAUCGGCAGGGAAGAAAAUGACGGUACCUGAGUAAGAAGCCCCGGCUAACUACGUGCCAGCAGCCGCGGUAAUACGUAGGGGGCAAGCGUUAUCAGGAUUUACUGGGUGUAAAGGGAGCGUAGACGGCAGCACAAGUCUGGAGUGAAAUGCCGGGGCUUAACCCCGGAACUGCUUUGGAGACUGUGCAGCUAGAGUGCAGGAGAGGUAAGUGGAAUUCCUAGUGCAGCGGUGAAAUGCGUAGAUAUUAGGAGGAACACCAGUGGCGAAGGCGGCUUACUGGACUGUAACUGACGUUGAGGCUCGAAAGCGUGGGGAGUAAACAGG
Molecule: ribosomal RNA, 397 nt
Filed under: uncultured bacterium
Lineage: Bacteria
Description: bacterial SSU rRNA
Rfam family: Bacterial small subunit ribosomal RNA
Source: RNAcentral